This 433-nucleotide ribosomal RNA is filed under the name uncultured bacterium. RNAcentral's name for it is "partial 16S ribosomal RNA". It matches the Rfam family "Bacterial small subunit ribosomal RNA", at positions 29 to 507 of the family's 1533-position model. The record is from RNAcentral.
AGCGAACGCUGGCGGCAGGCCUAACACAUGCAAGUCGAACGAACUCUUCGGAGUUAGUGGCGGACGGGUGAGUAACACGUGGGAACGUGCCUUUAGGUUCGGAAUAACUCAGGGAAACUUGAGCUAAUACCGGAUGUGCCCUUCGGGGGAAAGAUUUAUCGCCUUUAGAGCGGCCCGCGUCUGAUUAGCUAGUUGGUGAGGUAAAGGCUCACCAAGGCGACGAUCAGUAGCUGGUCUGAGAGGAUGAUCAGCCACAUUGGGACUGAGACACGGCCCAAACUCCUACGGGAGGCAGCAGUGGGGAAUCUUGCGCAAUGGGCGAAAGCCUGACGCAGCCAUGCCGCGUGAAUGAUGAAGGUCUUAGGAUUGUAGAAUUCUUUCACCGGGGACGAUAAUGACGGUACCCGGAGAAGAAGCCCCGGCUAACUUCGUG